UGGCUCAGAACGAACGCUGGCGGCGUGCUUAACACAUGCAAGUCGAACGCGAAAGGGACUUCGGUCCUGAGUAAAGUGGCGCACGGGUGAGUAACGCGUAGAUAACCUGUCUUCAUGUCUGGAAUAAUACGCCGAAAGGGGUACUAAUACCGGAUAUUCUUGCUUUUCAUAAGUUAUGCAAGCAAAGGUGGCCUCUGCAUAUGCUACUGCAUGAAGAGGGGUCUGCGUACCAUUAGCUAGUAGGUGGGGUAAUGGCCUACCUAGGCGACGAUGGUUAGCGGGUCUGAGAGGAUGAUCCGCCACACUGGCACUGGAACACGGGCCAGACUCCUACGGGAGGCAGCAGUGAGGAAUAUUGCGCAAUGGGGAAACCCUGACGCAGCGACGCCGCGUGAGUGAGGAAGGCCUUCGGGUCGUAAAGCUCUGUCAAGAGGAAAGAAGUGUACAAUGGCUAAUACCUGUUGUAUUUGACGGUACCUCUAAAGGAAGCACCGGCUAACUCCGUGCCAGCAGCGGC
This 517-nucleotide ribosomal RNA is filed under the name uncultured bacterium. RNAcentral describes it as "bacterial SSU rRNA". It matches the Rfam family "Bacterial small subunit ribosomal RNA", at positions 20 to 518 of the family's 1533-position model. The record is from RNAcentral.